GAUUGAAGAACGUAGCGAAAUGCGAUAAGUAAUGUGAAUUGCAGAAUUCAGUGAAUCAUCGAAUCUUUGAACGCACAUUGCGCCCGCCAGUAUUCUGGCGGGCAUGCCUGUCUGAGCGUCAUUUCAACCCUCAUGCCCCUAGGGCGUGGUGUUGGGGAUCGGCCAAAGCCCGCGAGGGACGGCCGGCCCCUAAAUCUAGUGGCGGACCCGUCGUGGCCUCCUCUGCGAAGUAGUGAUAUUCCGCAUCGGAGAGCGAUGAGCCCCUGCCGUUAAACCCCCAACUUUCCAAGGUUGACCUCAGAUCAGGUAGGAAUACCCGCUGAACUUAAGCAUAUCAAUAAGCGGAGGA
RNAcentral lists this unclassified non-coding RNA (349 nucleotides) under soil metagenome. RNAcentral's name for it is "partial contains 5.8S ribosomal RNA, internal transcribed spacer 2, and large subunit ribosomal RNA". The stretch from base 4 to 121 matches the Rfam family "5.8S ribosomal RNA", at positions 37 to 154 of the family's 154-position model. The record is from RNAcentral.